CAGUAGCCCGGUAAUACGGAGGGUGCAAGCGUUAAUCGGAAUUACUGGGCGUAAAGCGCACGCAGGCGGUCUGACAAGUCAGAUGUGAAAUCCCCGGGCUUAACCUGGGAACUGCAUUUGAAACUGUCAGGCUGGAGUCUUGUAGAGGGGGGUGGAAUUCCAGGUGUAGCGGUGAAAUGCGUAGAGAUCUGGAGGAAUACCGGUGGCGAAGGCGGCCCCCUGGACAAAGACUGACGCUCAGGUGCGAAAGCGUGGGGAGCAAACAGGAUUAGAUACCCCUGUAGUCCCUGUCUCUUAUACA
Molecule: ribosomal RNA, 301 nt
Filed under: uncultured bacterium
Lineage: Bacteria
Description: partial 16S ribosomal RNA
Rfam family: Bacterial small subunit ribosomal RNA
Source: RNAcentral